Molecule: transfer RNA, 85 nt
Filed under: Felis catus (domestic cat)
Lineage: Eukaryota; Metazoa; Chordata; Mammalia; Carnivora; Felidae
Rfam family: tRNA
About the family: Transfer RNA (tRNA) molecules are approximately 80 nucleotides in length.
Source: Rfam by way of RNAcentral
ACCUAGGUGGCUCAGUCGGUUGAGCGGCUGACUUCGGCUCAGAUCAUGAUCUCAUGGUAUGUGGGUUUGAGCCCCACUUCGGGCU